RNAcentral lists this long non-coding RNA (615 nucleotides) under Callithrix jacchus (white-tufted-ear marmoset). Its description in RNAcentral is "lncRNA (ENSCJAG00000059655.2)". The record is from RNAcentral. Lineage: Eukaryota; Metazoa; Chordata; Mammalia; Primates; Cebidae.
UGUGAAUACCUCUCACCCAACCCUGCCUCUGUAACUGAACUUGUAUACUCCUUGCCCCUACCCUCCAGCACUGUAACUGAACUUACUCUGCAGCACCCCCACCCCCCAAAAAAACUACCCAAAUCUAUAACACUGCCCUUUGCUAAUGCCCUUUUCAGCCUUAGCCCACCUGCACCCAGGCGAAUAAACAGCCAUGUUGCUCACACAAAGCCUGUUUGGAAGGUCGCUUCAUUCAAAGCGCGUGUUUUUUCAACAUUUGGUGCUGAAACCCGGCACAGGGGAACUCCUACAGAAGACCAAACCCCCGACCCUGUUCUUGUGCUCCUCCAUGAAGAGAUCUACCUACUGACCUGGGGUCAUCAGACCAGCCCACAGACACACACCACUGGCUAUUUUGGCAUAGUGCUAGCCGUGGAGACCAGAGUGGUGGGCAACGCAGACGCGACCCUGUCGUCACAGAACUUAGAGUUUAGAGAAGAUGGACAAUGCUGCGAAGCAGUAGGAAGUGCCCCGCAGUCUGACUACUUCAGCAGAGAGACUGGCCUUAUGGCGGGAGACCCCGGCGCUCAGGCAGGGCGGGGCGCGCUGCGGGUGUCCAGGGUGCGGAGACUGUGA